This 330-nucleotide ribosomal RNA is filed under the name uncultured eukaryote. RNAcentral describes it as "partial 18S ribosomal RNA". It matches the Rfam family "Eukaryotic small subunit ribosomal RNA", at positions 1470 to 1796 of the family's 1831-position model. The record is from RNAcentral.
CCCUUAGAUGUUCGGGGCCGCACGCGCGCUACACUGAAGGAAUCAGCACGUCUUUCUCCUUGUCCGAAAGGACUGGGUAACCCGCUGAACCUCCUUCGUGCUAGGGAUUGGGGCUUGUAAUUCUUCCCCAUGAACGAGGAAUUCCCAGUAAGCGCGAGUCAUAAGCUCGCGUUGAUUACGUCCCUGCCCUUUGUACACACCGCCCGUCGCUACUACCGAUUGGAUGGUUUAGUGAGAUCCUCGGAUUGGUCCCGGCGCGGCCUCUGGUCGUGCCGGAGUGCCGAAAAGAAUGUCGAACUUGAUCAUCUAGAGGAAGUAAAAGUCGGAACA